RNAcentral lists this long non-coding RNA (2303 nucleotides) under Ananas comosus (pineapple). RNAcentral describes it as "long non-coding RNA (ACOM_LNC032014)". Lineage: Eukaryota; Viridiplantae; Streptophyta; Magnoliopsida; Poales; Bromeliaceae. The record is from RNAcentral.
AUAUAUAUAUAUAUAUAUAUAGAGAGAGAGAGAGAGAGAGAGAGCGAGCGAGCUGAUAUGCUUCUGGAAGCACGGAGUCUUCCGUUCUUCCAAGUCGUUUUCGAUGUUGGGAUUUUCGAAUCGAUGAUCGGCUCCGUUAAACUUGAUCUAGAGUAUUUGAAGUAUCUAAAAAAUAAAUUUUAUAAUUUUUCGAUAUCAUUAAAUUAGCCUAGUGAUCGGAGGGGCUCAAAAUCAAUAAUUUUAAUAACCGUGGUGAGCCGUUUGCAAGUUUAAUGGUGUAAAAAUAUCCAAAUCACGUAAAAUUUUGAUAGAAAAUUUUUUAUACUGUAUAAAACAAGAUCAAUAUUUUUAAUCUAAAAUUUUAAUAUCCUAUCAUUAUAUUUUGUAAGAUUUUUAUUUUCAGCCGUUGAUUUUGAGCCACUUCAAUCACUAGGCAAAUGACAUCAAAAAAGCGCAAAAUUUAUUUUCUAGAUACGUAAAAUACUUUAGAUCAAGUUUAACGGAGCUGAUCGUCGAUUCGAAAGUCCCAACAUCGAAAAUGACUUGGAAGCGCCGAGCGCACUAUAUAUAUAUAAUUAAGCUCCUAUACUUUUAAAAGUACCAAGUCAUUGGUGCUUGUAAGUUUUCGGCCCUUGGAUUAGGGAAUGUGUCGUGAGGAUGAUGUUGACCCCUUANAUAUAGAGAGAGAGAGAGAGAGAGAGAGAGAGAGAGAGAGAGAGAGAGAGAGAGAGAGAGAGAGUCCGACUACUAUGAGUAUUGACUCCAUUAUACUCAUAAGUUUUCAACCCUUAGAUUUAUUUCAUUAAUUAUUUUCAUCCGUUAGAUCAUACUAUUUAACCAACUACCUACUCGACCCUAAGGGACCACUAUCAUUUUAAGUGGGGACCACCAUCAUCCUAACCAUACAUCUCAUGAAUCAAUGGUUAAAAAUUUAUGAGUACAAGGGAGUCUAUACUCAUAAGAGUAUAGUGCCCCAGUCUAUAUAUAUAUAUAUAUAUAUAGUAGGGUUACUGUGCAAUUAGAAGUACAACAGUCCUUAUAUUCCUAAGUUUCUAACCAUCCAUCAAUUUUGAUGGGUGAUUAGGAUAAAAGAGAAAAGAGAAAUUGAAAAUAAAUAUAAAGAGAAGAGAAUUGAGACACCCAUUUUUUUUUUUCUCAAUUUUUCUUCUUUUUUUUAUCCUAACCAUUCAUCAAAAUUGAUGUAUGGUUAGGAACUUAGGAACAUAUAGGUUACUGUGCUCCUAAUAGUACAGUAGCCCCGCUAUAUAUAUAUAUAUAUAUAGAGUCCAGCUAUGGUGCUUGUAAAAGCACAAAGCAUUUGGUGCUUGUAAGUUUUCUACCGUUAGAUCUACUCCUCCGAUCAUUGUCAACCAUUAGAUUAUACUAUUCAACCAACCACCUACUAAACCCUAGGGGGCCCACAUCAUCUUAACCGCAUAUCUUUUAAUCCAAUGGCUAAAAAUUUACAAGCACCAAUAACUUGGAACUUUUAAAAGCAUAGGAGCUCAAUUCUAUAUAUAUAUAUAUAGAGAGUUGGACUGGGCUACUAUUAGUAGCAAAAUUCUAUUGUUGCUAUCAGUUUUUUAGCCUUUAGAUCAACUCUUUUCAUCAUUUCUAACAAUUGGAUUAAAUACUAUAACCCUGUGGGGACCACUCAACCCUAGGGGGACCACGCAACUCUAACUAACUUAUAUCAUCCUAACCCUACAAUUUUUCAUCCAAGGAUUAAAAACUUGAUAGCAAAAAGAGCGUUUUACUAUUAAUAGUAUUCUAGCAUAAUUCUAUAUAUAUAUAGAGAGAGAGAGAGAGAGAGAGAGAGAGAGUUGAGCCAGAAUACUCUCAAAAGCACCAAAAAGGUGGUGCUUUUGAGUUUUUAGCCAUUGGAUGGAGAGAUGAAGGAUUGAGAUGAUAGUGGUAGAUGGUAGACUGGUGAUAGGUGAAAUAGUGUUUGAUCCAAAGGCUAUUAGUAAUCAAGGAGUAGAUCCAAAGGCUAGAAACUUAAAAGCACCAAGAGGUUGGUACUUCUAAAAGUAUUCUAGCUAUAUAUAUAUAUAUAUAUAUAUAUAUAUAAGCUCCUAUACUUUUAAAAGUACCAAGUCAUUGGUGCUUGUAAGUUUUCGGCCCUUGGAUUAGGGAAUGUGUCGUUAGGAUGAUGUUGACCCCUUAGGGUUGAGUAGUUAGUUGGUUGAAUAGUAUAAUCUAACGGAUGGAAAUGAUCAAAGACGUAGAUUUAACGGUAAAAAAUUCACAAGCACCAAGUGCUUGGUGUUUUUACAAGCACCAUAGCCGGACUCAUAUAUAUA